Long non-coding RNA from Cimex lectularius (bed bug), 1116 nucleotides. RefSeq lists it as uncharacterized. The transcript has 3 exons. The record is from RefSeq and is a predicted model, not a curated record. NCBI's taxonomy places the organism in Eukaryota, Metazoa, Arthropoda, Insecta, Hemiptera, Cimicidae.
UUUUCAUUAUUACUACCAUUAGUCUGUGGGGUAAGUUGAAAAUUAAAAUAUAAACGUACGAAGAGGAAAAACAUCCCACAGCGAGGAUUAUUACAGUUAAAAUAUAAAACAAUUCUUAGUUAUUAUGGUGCAUGGGCCACGACUCGGUGAAGCAGGAUCCAGUGUUGUUCCAGCUGGAAGUAACUUUCAUUUCUCAGUCUCGCCCGCACGGGUCAGGUAAAUGUUUUCGGAGGGAGACUAGUUUAAACUAACAUUUGUCCUUCGCCCUAAGUUGGUUUACUUCCCUCUCAUGCUGAGUAUGUUUCUGAAGUAGAAUAUCCAUUGUGUAUACAAAGAAAGAGGAAUUCUAAUUAAUUUUGUUUCCUUCUAUAUGCACACUGCUAGUCGAACAUGGACUGAGUUUAAUUUUCCUGUAUUAAUAUUCCCUCGCAGGAGAUUACUGUUUGCUCACGAGUGUGACAACUCAUUUUUGGUAUUUUCUGAAAAUUAAUAAUAAGUUUAAUCCAUAAUAAAUUAAUAUUUAAUUAAGGAAUAAUCUGACGUAUUUGAUUUUUGCUUCAAUUCCUAGGUAGGAGUUAUAAAUUUUCUCUUUGUUCAAUGUUGCAGUACCACCUCCGUGUCUGACUAGCUAGGUCGGUAAUUUGAUGGUGAUGGUCCGAAACAUCGGCAGUCCCGCUCUUCCGAAAGCAGACGUUCAUGUAGAAUUGAAGAAAGCGGGUUCUGAAAUAUUAACGCGAUUUGGCUGAAAUUCCUGCAAACUUUUCGCCUGAAUCGAUAAGACCGGAGGUCUGGGAUACGCCUUUCCUAUAAGCGAUCGUGACUGCGAAAAUUCACCGUCGUGCAGAAAGAACAAUUUAAAUAAACUAAUUAACUCACUCGACAAAUUCGCUCUGGAAAGGAUGAAUUUAGCUGAUUUUAUUUAUUUUUAAUCUAAACAUCGGCGAGACUAGGCGGACCGGGAUCUUCGGAAGCGUCCUAGUUCCAAGGUUCAUCAAUCAACCUGCAGACCUCAAGAGCAUUAAUAUUUUUAACUUGGAAUCAUAAAAAGCAUAGACGAUUAAUAAUAAUUCAAAAGUGUAAUAAUAUCCAUUAAUCAAUAAUUCCAUUAAAAACUAA